Mesocricetus auratus (golden hamster) is the source of this 1191-nucleotide long non-coding RNA. RefSeq lists it as uncharacterized. Lineage: Eukaryota; Metazoa; Chordata; Mammalia; Rodentia; Cricetidae. The transcript has 3 exons. The record is from RefSeq and is a predicted model, not a curated record.
GGUUGGCCCAGGGAUUAUAAGGAAGUGCAUGAGUAUUUAAGAAACUUUAAAUUCUGGGGGUGAAAAGUGGAAUGUUAACCUAAAAAAAUUAUUUGUGUGGAUGUCUUGGCUGCGUGUCUGGAUGCCUCAGAGACUAGAAAAGGACGUCACAUUCCCUGGAGCUGCAGGUCACGGGGAACAGCCUGGGAGGAUCCUUGGAGCUGGAACCUGUGGCAGCCUCCUGUGUCAGCACAGACAGUCAACUGCUCAUCUUCAAAGCAGCAACUGAAAACUGUAAGAAGAAAUCCUAACUCUGGAAGAUAUUGUAAUGCCUAAAGGAGAAGUGAAGCUACUGACCUGGGGGAGGAGAUGGAGGUGCUGCACGCUGAGCCCCUGGAGUCCCGGAUGCCUUUAAAAUCAAGUAGACCCUCGAUGUGUCCAUUGCAAAUAGGAGACAUGACACUGAACCUGUGAGCAGGGACAAACUCCAAGUUCUGUGAGGUGAAAUGAGCAAAGGGAGGUCCCCUGUGAACACUCAGCUGUGAGUCCACGCCCACCCACACUGGUAGCUGAAGGUUUCUCCAUAGUUACUGACCUUGGUGUCUGUGCGGCUCCCACAGUUUACACACUAUUGCCUUUUUUCUUUCUUAUUAUUCCUCACUCAUACAAUACAUCCCAACUACAGCCUCUCCCUCUCUUCCUCCCAGUUCACCCCCACCUUCCUUCUCCCCCAGACCCACUUUUCUUCCAUUUCCCUUCAGAAAAAGAGCAGACCUUCCAGGGAUAUCAACCAAAUACAGGAUAACAAGAUGCAGUAAGACUAGGUACAGAUCCUCAUAUCAAGCCUUGACAAGGCAACCCAGUAGGAGAAAAAGGGUCCCAUGAGAAGGCCAAAGAGUCAGAGUCACCCCCAACUCCCACUGUUAGGAGUCCCACAAACACUCCAAGCUGAACUACCAAGGAAAAUAUGUAGAGGACCUAGUGUAGACCCACACAGGCUCCAUGGCUGCUGCUUGAGCUUGUGUGAGCCCCAUGAGCCCUGCUUAGUUGAUUCUGUGCUCCGUGUUCUCCUGGUGUCCUCUACCCCUCUGGCUCCCACAAUCCUUUCUCCCCACCUCUCCUGCAGUUCCUGGAACUCCACCUAACAUUUGGCCAUGAGUCUCUGCAUCUUCUCCCAUCACAUGUAUUUUCUUAAUAAAACAAUUUGUAUCA